This is a non-coding RNA of Ficedula albicollis (Collared flycatcher), 382 nucleotides long. The record is from the annotation of a RefSeq genome assembly. NCBI's taxonomy places the organism in Eukaryota, Metazoa, Chordata, Aves, Passeriformes, Muscicapidae.
AUGGUCAGCGUCACCGAGCUCUGCCCGUUGUCCCUGGAGAUCGUGAACCGGCCCUUGACCGACGCUCCGGGCAGCCGUGACCCUGCUGGAGUCUGGGGCGGACCUCCAGCCCCCGUGGGGUGCCUGACUCUGCUCUGCCGCGGGUCUGGAUUCAAUUUUGUGCGUUAUGGAAUGGUCUGGGUUCGGCAGAGCCCCAGGAAGGCGCUGGAAUGGCUCGCAGGGAUCAGCAGCAAUGGUGGCUACACCCACUACACGCAAUCGGUUCAGGGCCGGUUCAGGAUCUCCAGGGACAGCUGGCAGAGCUUGGUGACGCUGACCAUGAAGGAUCUGAAGGAUGAGGAUUCCGGCGCCUAUUUCUGCGCCAGGCGUAGCAGUGGUUAUG